UUUGAUCCUGGCUCAGAACGAACGUUGGCGGCGUGGAUUAGGCAUGCAAGUCGAGGGAAUCCCAGCAAUGGGGGAACCGGCGUAAGGGGCAGUAAGGCAUGGGUACCUACCCUGAAGUUCGGGAUAGCCAUCAGAGAUGGUGGGUAAUACCGGAUGAUGUCGUGAGACCAAAGAUUUAUCGCUUUGGGAGGGGCCCAUGUGAUAUUAGCUAGUUGGUGAGGUAACGGCUCACCAAGGCAAAGAUGUCUAGCGGGUAUGAGAGUACGACCCGCGCCACUCGCACUGAGACACUGGCGAGACACCUACGGGUGGCUGCAGUCGAGGAUCUUCGGCAAUGGGCGAAAGCCUGACCGAGCGACGCCGCGUGCGCGAUGAAGGCCUCCGGGUUGUAAAGCGCUUUAGUGGGGGAGAAAAGGGCAACCUUGAUCUAUCCCAAAAAUAAGCUCGGGCUAAGUUCGUGCCAGCAGCCGCGGUAAGACGAACCGAGCGAACGUUGUUCGGAAUCACUGGGCUUAAAGGGCGCGUAGGCGGGCUGUCAAGUCUGGGGUGAAAUCCCGCGGCUCAACCGUGGAACUGCCUCAGAUACUGACGGCCUCGAGGGAGGUAGGGGCGAGCGGAACUGUGAGUGGAGCGGUGAAAUGCGUUGAUAUUCACAGGAACUCCGGUGGCGAANGCGGCUCGCUGGACCUUUUCUGACGCUGAGGCGCGAAAGCUAGGGGAGCAAACGGGAUUAGAUACCCCGGUAGUCCUAGCCCUAAACGUUGGGUACUGGGUAG
This 776-nucleotide ribosomal RNA is filed under the name uncultured bacterium. RNAcentral describes it as "bacterial SSU rRNA". It matches the Rfam family "Bacterial small subunit ribosomal RNA", at positions 12 to 823 of the family's 1533-position model. The record is from RNAcentral.